RNAcentral lists this ribosomal RNA (372 nucleotides) under uncultured organism. Its description in RNAcentral is "partial 16S ribosomal RNA". It matches the Rfam family "Bacterial small subunit ribosomal RNA", at positions 527 to 896 of the family's 1533-position model. The record is from RNAcentral.
GUAGGUGGCAAGCGUUGUCCGGAAUUAUUGGGCGUAAAGCGCGCGCAGGCGGUUCGUUUAAGUCUGAUGUGAAAGCCACGGCUCAACCGUGGAGGGUCAUUGGAAACUGGAGAACUUGAGUACAGAAGAGGAAAGCGGAAUUCCACGUGUAGCGGUGAAAUGCGUAGAGAUGUGGAGGAACACCAGUGGCGAAGGCGGCUUUCUGGUCUGUAACUGACGCUGAGGCGCGAAAGCGUGGGGAGCAAACAGGAUUAGAUACCCUGGUAGUCCACGCCGUAAACGAUGAGUGCUAAGUGUUAGGGGGUUUCCGCCCCUUAGUGCUGCAGCUAACGCAUUAAGCACUCCGCCUGGGGAGUACGGCCGCAAAGGCUG